AAGGCAGCCAUGCUGUUAAGGUCACAGUCACCAUUCCCUGCCCAUCAAAACUCACAAUAAAAUUAAUUAAUUGUACACUAUCAAAUUAUCAUGGUACUAAUAUGCUUUGUCAUAAUUUAGGAAAAUAUAGAAGGGGUUGGAGAUAAAAAUUGUAGAGUACGUCUCCUAAUUAAUGAAUAUUGGUGAUAUAGCACAAUCAUUAGAUUUAUGAAUAACCAACAAAAUUAAAGUUUGCUUGUCCCAAUCUAUAGUUGAUAAAGGUAUGUCAGUAGUAAAAGCUAUUUUUAUUUUUAUUUGUCUUUUCCUUUUGAUUCUUCCAAAUCUCAUUAAUAUGGUAAAAGAAGGGCUAGAAGACAC
Molecule: unclassified non-coding RNA, 357 nt
Filed under: Hevea brasiliensis (rubber tree)
Lineage: Eukaryota; Viridiplantae; Streptophyta; Magnoliopsida; Malpighiales; Euphorbiaceae
Source: RNAcentral